Molecule: ribosomal RNA, 117 nt
Filed under: Aeromicrobium panaciterrae
Lineage: Bacteria; Bacillati; Actinomycetota; Actinomycetes; Propionibacteriales; Nocardioidaceae
Source: RNAcentral
UUCGGCGGCCAUAGCGAAUGGGAAACACCCGGUAACAUUCCGAACCCGGAAGUUAAGCCAUUCAGCGCCGAUGGUACUGCACGGGUGACUGUGUGGGAGAGUAGGACGCCGCCGGAC